GUUUAUAACAAAGUAGGGGUUGAAAAAUAUAGGGGAUGAGCAUACCACAGAAUGUGGGGAGGAUCCAUCAGUACCAUCCUCUGAAAUAUCCUCUUCAGUACAUAAGAAUUACUGUUAUAUUUGUGGAAAGCCCCAAUCAAAAUUCACAAGACACUUAAAAAUUCAUAAAAACACAAAUAUGGAUGUUGCUAGGGCUAGGGAGUGGAUCGAGGCAGAUAAAACUCAAUUGUAAACUGAAGAAAAAUUACAAUCCAAAUGAUUAUGCGAAUUGCAUGUGUUGCCAUGCAAUGUUCCAACACAGAGAUCUGUGGAGACAUGUACUGAACCGUCCUUCUAAGUCAGUGGAUCAGGAACAACCAGGAAGAAAUAAGGUAUUGGGUUUAGUGACAAUGUCUGAUUCAGUUCUCUGUCAACAAAUGCCAUAGAGUGUUUGGAAACUCCUAACACCAAUGAAAGAUGCUGACAUCUCUGCUGCUGUGCGGAGUGAUUUCACUCCUCUUCACAAAGAUGUUGCUGUUGGCCUUGCAGCAUUUGAGCAGAAACUUUGCACACACUUCAGUCGAGUUGAAAUUAGGGGAAAAGGGGGCGUAAAGUAGCAGUUUUCCUAUCACCAGACAUGGUUGAUGCUUUAAGACUUCUAAUGAGUGUGGAGUUCCACAAGACAAUACAUUUCUUUUUGCAAGACCCAGAUGUUUGACUCCGUAUCGAGGUCAAGACAGUCUACGGAUUUACGCAGAUGAGUGAGGUGCCCAGAACCCUGAGCUCCUCCGGUCAACACAGCUGCGCAAGCAUGUUGCAACAUUGUCACAGGUCCUGAACUUAGAAAAACAUGAGUUGGAUCAAGUAGCAGACUUAUUGGGCCAUGAUAUACGUGUCCACAGGGAAUAUUACAGGCUUCCAUAGGCUACAACCCAGCUGGCAAAAUUUCUAAACUUCUACUUGCCAUAGAGAAAGGUUCUUUUAGAAGUCUUCAAGGCAAAUCACUUGAAGAAAUUGACAUUGAAGGGAAGUCUAUAAAUGUUAAAAUUAGAUUUUUGUGAUUUUACUGUAUGGUUUAUAGUAUAUUUUAUUGUAAAGGUUAUCAAGUGUAUAGGCUAAGAUACAUACAGACAAUAUGUCUUUACCAAAGUAAUAGUUUACAGAAUGGUUAUUAUUUGAUACUUUUAUUUGCUCCUAACAUUUGCUUUUUACCUUAAGACUCAAAUUGUUUGUUUUUUGUUAGAAAACCUAGACUUAACUGAUUCUAAUCCAAGUGAUAUGACAGUGCUAAGGAGACAGAUCAACUAACACAAAGUGAAAUUGCACUAAAGCGAGUUAGGCGACCUGUCGAGGAUCUUCCAAGCACCUUAGAUGAUGAUGACCCUGACUUAGAAAACACAUCUGCAGGUAAAAAAAGACAGAAGUUUUUAACUAAUCCAUUUUAAGGAUAUAUAAGUGCUAUUCAACUUUAAAAAUCAUUGGUAUACAGUGGUCAGCGUAAAUUAGCAGUGACGGCUGGUCAAUAGGGGGCGCUGGGUUGCCGCCCCCAAAUUUGGCCAGAGAAGAAAGCUACUUUAACAUGUUACCAAAAAGUUAAAUAUAUAGUGCAAAUUAAUACAAAAUAAAAUCGUUUGGUUGUACUAUUUCACUGUUAGUCAUGUUAUCAUUUAAUCAAAACGGCGUUUGUUGUGUGUGUGUCUUGGGCGCACUCCUAAUAAGUGUGUAUGUAGGUCAGUAAAAACAUGUGACCUGAGCUCUAAUUGGCUGGUUUUGGAUCCGCCCUGGGCUACAGGACUGUGCACCCCAAACCCUCCCACUUAUGUUGUAAGCGAAUCAAUAUUGUUUUUUAUGUCUUUGACCUUAUUUGAUUGGAUCGUUCUCAGAGUCUCAUAACCGCAUUGCAGAUUGCCAUGUAAAUGCUAGCUACAGUACUGAUCAGUGAAAGCAAGUGAAAUACGUUGAGAUGAAAGAAAAUAUGAUAUUAUGCUUACAAAAUCACCCUCUACAAGGCAUUCAGUUGAAGAAUAAAUAAAGGAUUAAGGAGCUUGGACCAGAUUGAGCAGCAGGAAAUGAUCAUGGUCGAGUUUACACUGUGUGCUUUUCCAGGACUCAUGGCAAAUGGAGUUGGCUAACGUUAGCAGGAUGCUACAGUAUGCAUGGAAUGGAAAAGCUGAUGACAUUUUGCAACAUCCAUCUUUUUCCAUUGUUCAAGAAUGACCUCUUUUAGAAAUUGGAUGCUGGAUGGAGAGUGAUGCAUUCUUGCUCAUUAUUAUCAUUAAAUACAAGAGCUCACACAAGGUAUGUUUUUUUUUAUUGAAGACAGUUUGAGCCUUAAGUCGUUAUCCAUCCUCUAUCUGUGUCUGUAUUUGUUCUUCGUGUGAUUAAGUGCUAAAUCCCCACUGGUACAAAGGUGCAUUAUCGAGAACGACAGUAAUUCAGCAUGAUUUGAGGCAGCAGAUUAGGCACGCAAUCUGUCAUAUGCAUGCAGCUUCUAUGGUUACAGUCAUUUUUCACUGCAAAUGAUGAGGUAAUCUGAUUAAAUGCACUGGAUUUACAACAUUUUGGCAUAUAGAAAUACAUACCCGAUUUUAAUAUUAUUUUAAGGUAGAAUUAAAUGAACUACUCAUCAUUUUAUUCGCGUACCCCCUAUUUUCACCUCCCCAGGGGUACACGUACCCUAGUUUGGGAACCACUGGGCAAGACUAAAGAUAAUUAUUAGACUGGUUGGAUAGAAAGAUGAGAUCUAGUCAUCAUUGUUUAUUCUAGGAAUCUGUUUUUCUCUUUUAUAGUCGUUCCAGAAAAUCCUGCUGAAAAGAAGAACAAAGAAAAAAAAGAAAAGAACAAAAACAGCAAUGGUCUACAAACUAAAAUCACAGCAGUAAUUACACAGGGAAAACUUGCCACUAAAAUUGAUUGCCAGCAGUGCAAGAAUGCUGAGCAUCCUGCAUUGGCUAAUCGCUCUUUACAAAAUAUCAGAGACUUUGUUAGGAAUAGUUGGAUGUACAAGUUUUCUAUUUAGUACAGUUACAGCCACAGUAAUAACUACAGGAACACAAACUAUGAUUUGAAAUAAGUCUUGCCCAUUUACAAUCAAAUUAUUUUAACGUAUUAUUAUUAUUUUUUUUAAAUGUCAUUAAUUUGCACUAGUCACAGUGACUUGUAGUACCUGGAUAAGGCUUGUGUUAGCAGUUUCAGCAGACCUGAAAAUGUGUGCAGUCGCAAACACAAAGUAAUAAGCACUACUUUUCCAUCGUUGAGGUGAAAGGCAAGAAUGUUUAUGUACUGUGCAACUUAUGCCGAGUAAGAAAGAGUCUGUCUAUGCUUGUAAUUCUGAUCUAAUAAUGCACCUCACAUCAUCACAUGCUGCUACAAAAUUAGUGGUUUCUCUUUAGUGUCCAAUUCAUUCAUUUACAAAUUUAAUAUUGGGGGCAUCCAAGUUAUGAAAUAUUUUAACUUUUUUCUAAGUAACGCAAUAGUUACUUUGCCUGGUAAUUAGUUACUUUUAUAAUCUUUCUAACUCAGUUAAUAUUUUUGAGAAGUAACUUGUUACUAUAAUUACUUUUUUUAAAGUAACGUUGCCAGCACUGCUUACCAGCUUGUUUUUAAAAAGCAUCAUGAUGGAUAUAUAGAUUUAUAAGCACUCUCUUUUCAGCUGCCUGGAAACACAUGUGCACGUUGUGUCAGAUGUUAUGGGUCUGCAUAUGACACGUGCAUCUUGAGGUAAUACACACUGGCAAAGUUUUGAGAGGAUGUGCAGCUCUCAUUUGUUAUCUAUUUGCUGGUAACUUUGUAACCAAUUUUAUAAUGGUACUUUGUAACCAUGGUAACACACAUGACAUCUAUUACUGCUGUAGAAGCGGGGACGCACUUUUCUACACUGAGCUUAGCAAUGCCUAGUCAUAGUUUUAGAUGGGUGAAAUAGUUAAAUCCAGCCUUGUGAUUCAUAUUUACACUUAAGUUCACCUUAGUGCUUCCACACAACUUUUUUAUUCCCAGCUGGUUUAUUUAUUUGACUGUUAAAGGUAUAGCGGAAGAUUUUCGUUUUCCGGGUGGAUCACCUAUAUUAUUGGUCAUCCCAGAUGUCAAUCAUUCUGAUUAUAUGUUGAUGUGUAACUGUCGUACGUGCUCGCCUCUAGGUUCGCUUUCUGCACAUGCGCGCUUUCACGUGUAUGUGUGUUGUGCUACGGUUUCAACCAUUCAUUGAAGGUUGCGUACUCACUGUGUUUUUUUUUUCAAAAUGUCUGAGGGUCGCAAGAGAAAAAGUGUCUACGAAUUGUAUGACAAGAAGAGAAAGGACUAUGACGAAAGAAACAAGACCAGAGUGUUUAUGGGAGACUAUUUCACUUGCUGGCGUGAGCUAAUAGGACAGGUUGGGCUUCCCACGCGAAGUUUCUACUGGAAAGGUACAUUUUGUCAUGCUAUUUGGAGAAAUCAAUUUAAAAUCACUGCUAGUAAAAGUUGAUGUAAGCUAUGAUUAGCGAUGCUAGCCCUGGCACAAGUCACGAACCGCACAUACAUGGUAAACAUGCCGACAGCAACUUGUAAACAGAGCGAAGAGAAGAACUGAGCUCCUGUAUGCUCUCUCUCUGUCUCGUGCACGCGUUUAACAGGCGUUCCCUCUCGGGAGGAGGGAGAGUGUGGCGCGUGCAUUUUUAAAAAAAUGUGGAGGGGCGGUUCAUUUAAAUAAUUCGGGAAAAUCUUCCACUAUACCUUUAAGAGAUAUAUUAUUAAUUAUAUAUUAUUCAUGGUUGGUAGACUUAAUGACACAGAAACCGGAAGAACAUAAUGAGUUGUACUCAGUGCUGAGUGGACAAUUCCUCUGAUCAAUGGUAAUCCAAUAUCCUAUGCCUUGUGUCAAUCACAAGUGUUUCGUUUUAUUGCUGUGGUUGUAUAAACUCAUUAUUAUUGAAGAGAUGAGGUCAUCUGCUGGAUUUGUGUGUAACAGUCACAGAAAAGGAACACACAUUACGUUUCCAUCUAGGGGUGGGUAUGACCAAAAAUCAUUUCACAGAAUGAGUCAUUUUAUUUGUUAUAUUGUUUUUAGAAUAUACAAAUGUCCCACUAACUAAGGCUAUAUCCACACGAAGCCGCUGCAUUCCCUAUCCGAUCAUUUUUUUUCCUUGCUCUAAAAAAAUAAUCCAUAAACACGAAACCACUGAAACCGACUGAAAGCGGUGUAGUAUAUAUGCUGGACCAGUAUGGGGCGCUGUAAUUCUGCCACAAAUAUACACUAUACACGGAGAAGAAGACUGUGAGCAUGCGCAUAACCAACGUAUGGUGUUGUCCAUUAUCGCUCUUUGGUCACCACAAUUGCAUAGAAGCAAUAGAUUUUGCUGUAAUAAAGCUAGUAGGCUUUAGUAGCUUCUGUAGCACAAACACAAUCACAUAGUCCGCCGUUAUUGUUGUUGCUGUUACGUGUAACGCUUCUGACACGUGAUGUGAUGACGUUUUCGCUUUACAAAAUAUACGGAUUGGCUGUUCAGACGAAACCGCAAGGGUGUCGGUUUCAGAUUUAUCCACUUUAGGACCCGGUUUCAAAAAAUAGCGGAUUCAGUCUCCCAAAACGCCGGAUCCGUGUGGAUGAAACGCCAAAACGAUAACAAAUUUAUACGUAUGCAGUGAUGCACGUCUCCGU
Molecule: non-coding RNA, 5614 nt
Organism: Misgurnus anguillicaudatus (oriental weatherfish)
Lineage: Eukaryota; Metazoa; Chordata; Actinopteri; Cypriniformes; Cobitidae
Source: RefSeq, a predicted model, not a curated record